This 492-nucleotide ribosomal RNA is filed under the name uncultured bacterium. Its description in RNAcentral is "partial 16S ribosomal RNA". It matches the Rfam family "Bacterial small subunit ribosomal RNA", at positions 29 to 507 of the family's 1533-position model. The record is from RNAcentral.
AGUGAACGCUGGCGGUAGGCCUAACACAUUCAAGUCGAACGGCAGCACAGUAAGAGCUUGCUCUUACGGGUGGCGAGUGGCGGACGUGUGAGGAAUACAUCGGAAUCUACUUUUUCGUGGGGGAUAACGUAGGGAAACUUACGCUAAUACCGCAUACGACCUACGGGUGAAAGCAGGGGAUCUUCGGACCUUGCGCGAUUGAAUGAGCCGAUGUCGGAUUAGCUAGUUGGCGGGGUAAAGGCCCACCAAGGCGACGAUCCGUAGCUGGUCUGAGAGGAUGAUCAGCCACACUGGAACUGAGACACGGUCCAGACUCCUACGGGAGGCAGCAGUGGGGAAUAUUGGACAAUGGGCGCAAGCCUGAUCCAGCCAUACCGCGUGGGUGAAGAAGGCCUUCGGGUUGUAAAGCCCUUUUGUUGGGAAAGAAAAGCAGCAGGUUAAUACCCCGCUGUUCUGACGGUACCCAAAGAAUAAGCACCGGCUAACUUCGUG